AAGACCCUCGAGGCCACGCCUCCCGGCUAGUAGAGACAGAAAUCGCUGAGUCGGCUCCCUUGCCCUCUUGUUUCACCUCUUGGAAGGAACUCCUCUUCAAGUCCAGGCUGGUCACGGGCAGCUUCCCUCAGUGAUGAACUAUGAUAUGUUGUUACCUGAAAGAAACCCUCUCCUCCCUAAGUUGUUUUUGGUCAGUACGCUGGAUAGUUUGAUGUCAACGUGAUGCGAGCUGGAGUCAUUGGAGAAGUGGGAACCCCAAGUAAGAAAAUGUCUCCAUUAGAUCUGGCUAAGGUUGAGCAAGCCAUGUGGAGCAAGUCUGUAAGUAGCAAGUAGCACCCCUCCGUGGCCUCUGCAUCAGCUCCUGGUUCCAGUUUCCUGCCAUGACGCUCUUCAAUGAUGAACAGUGCCGUGGAAGUUUAAGCCAAAUAAACCCUUUUCUCCACA
Molecule: long non-coding RNA, 444 nt
Organism: Mus musculus (house mouse)
Lineage: Eukaryota; Metazoa; Chordata; Mammalia; Rodentia; Muridae
Product: predicted gene, 39425
Exons: 3
Source: RefSeq, a predicted model, not a curated record